Molecule: ribosomal RNA, 490 nt
Filed under: uncultured bacterium
Lineage: Bacteria
Description: partial 16S ribosomal RNA
Rfam family: Bacterial small subunit ribosomal RNA
Source: RNAcentral
AUUGAACGCUGGCGGCAGGCCUAACACAUGCAAGUCGAACGGUAACAGGAAGAAGCUUGCUUCUUUGCUGACGAGUGGCGGACGGGUGAGUAAUGUCUGGGACACUUCCUGAGGGAGGGGGAUAACUACUGGAAGCGAUAGCUAAUAACGCAUAACGUCGAAAGACAAAAGAGGGGGACCUUCGGGCCUCUUGCCAUCGGAUGUGCCCAGAUGGGAUUAGCUAGUAGGUGGGGUAACGGCUCACCUAGGCGACGAUCCCUAGCUGGUCUGAGAGGAUGACCAGCCACACUGGAACUGAGACACGGUCCAGACUCCUACGGGAGGCAGCAGUGGGGAAUAUUGCACAAUGGGCGCAAGCCUGAUGCAGCCAUGCCGCGUGUAUGAAGAAGGCCUUCGGGUUGUAAAGUACUUUCAGCGGGGAGGAAGGGUGUAAAGUUAAUACCUUUGCUCAUUGACGUUACCCGCAGAAGAAGCACCAGCUAACUCCGUG